GUCAGAGGUUCGAAGGCGAUUAGAUACCGCCCUAGUUCUAACCGUAAAUAUGUCAUCUAGCGAUCCGCCGACGUUACUACAAUGGCUCGGCGGGCAGCUUCCGGGAAACCAAAGAUUUUGGACUCCGGGGGGAGUAUGGUUGCAAAGCUGAAACUUAAAGGAAUUGACGGAAGGGCACCACCAGGAGUGGAGCCUGCGGCUUAAUUUGACUCAACACGGGAAAUCUCACCAGGCCCGGACACCGGAAGGAUUGACAGAUUAACAGCUCUUUCUUGAUUCGGUGGGUGGUGGUGCAUGGCCGUUCUUAGUUGGUGGAGCGAUUUGUCUGGUUAAUUCCGGUAACGAACGAGACUCUAGCCUGCUAAAUAGGCGUCGUCAUUUAGGUGUGCGUGGCUCCGUCACGCAACUCACUGGCGACGUAUUAAAAUUCUUCUUAGAGGGACCGGCGGCUUCGAGCCGCACGAGAUUGAGCAAUAACAGGUCUGUGAUGCCCUUAGAUGUCCUGGGCCGCACGCGCGCUACACUGAAGGAAUCAGCAUGUUCUCCCUGGCCUAGAGGCCCGGGCAACCCGCUGAAACUCCUUCGUGCUGGGGAUUGGGGUUUGCAAUUAUCCCCCAUAAACGAGGAAUUCCUAGUAGCGCGAGUCAUAAGCUCGCGUUGAUUACGUCCCUGCCCUUUG
RNAcentral lists this ribosomal RNA (679 nucleotides) under uncultured eukaryote. RNAcentral describes it as "SSU rRNA". It matches the Rfam family "Eukaryotic small subunit ribosomal RNA", at positions 989 to 1662 of the family's 1831-position model. The record is from RNAcentral.